CCAGACUCCUACGGGAGGCAGCAGUGGGGAAUAUUGCACAAUGGGGGAAACCCUGAUGCAGCGACGCCGCGUGAAGGAAGAAGUAUCUCGGUAUGUAAACUUCUAUCAGCAGGGAAGAAAACAGACGGUACCUGACUAAGAAGCCUCGGCUAACUACGUGCCAGCAGCCGCGGUAAUACGUAGGAGGCAAGCGUUAUCCGGAAUGACUGGGCGUAAAGGGUGCGUAGGUGGUUUGACAAGUUAGUAGCGCAACUCCGGAGCUUAACUUCGGAACUACUACUAAAACUGUUGGACUUGAGUGCAGGAGGGGCAAGCGGAAUUCCUAGUGUAGCGGUGGAAUGCGUAGAUAUUAGGAGGAACACCAGUGGCGAAGGCGGAUUGCUAGACUGUAACUGACACUGAGGCACGAAAGCGUGGGGAGCAAACAGGAUUAGAUGCCCCUGUA
RNAcentral lists this ribosomal RNA (445 nucleotides) under uncultured bacterium. RNAcentral describes it as "bacterial SSU rRNA". It matches the Rfam family "Bacterial small subunit ribosomal RNA", at positions 331 to 792 of the family's 1533-position model. The record is from RNAcentral.